UACAGAGGGUGCAAGCGUUAAUCGGAAUUACUGGGCGUAAAGCGCGCGUAGGCGGUUACGUAAGUUGGAUGUGAAAUCCCCGGGCUCAACCUGGGAAUUGCAUUCAAAACUGCGUGGCUAGAGUGUGGGAGAGGAAGGUAGAAUUCCAGGUGUAGCGGUGAAAUGCGUAGAUAUCUGGAGGAAUACCGAUGGCGAAGGCAGCCUUCUGGCCUAACACUGACGCUGAGGUGCGAAAGCAUGGGGAGCAAACAGGAUUAGAUACCCUGGUAGUCCAUGCCGUAAACGAUGUCUACUAGCCGUUGGGGGACUUGAUCCUUUAGUGGCGCAGCUAACGCAUUAAGUAGACCGCCUGGGGAGUACGGUCGCAAGACUA
This 373-nucleotide ribosomal RNA is filed under the name uncultured bacterium. RNAcentral's name for it is "bacterial SSU rRNA". It matches the Rfam family "Bacterial small subunit ribosomal RNA", at positions 524 to 896 of the family's 1533-position model. The record is from RNAcentral.